CACCGUAGAGGGGUUCCCACGCUUGUAUUCAAGCUGGAUUUCGCUAAGGCAUUCGACUCCAUCGCCUGGCCGAGCCUUCGCCAGAUCAUGGAGGUCCAGGGGUUCCCGGCUCUCUAGUAUGAUUGGAUGGACCUCAUCCUCCAUUCCUCCAAGGCCGCGGUCCUUCUGAAUGGCGUGCUGGGGUGCUGGUUUGCAGUUCGGAAAGGGCUGCGCCAUGGAGAUCCAAUCUCCCCAUACCUGUUCCUCAGGUCGCGGACGUCCUCUAGCGUAUGA
Molecule: ribosomal RNA, 273 nt
Filed under: Triticum aestivum (bread wheat)
Lineage: Eukaryota; Viridiplantae; Streptophyta; Magnoliopsida; Poales; Poaceae
Description: partial small subunit ribosomal RNA
Source: RNAcentral